RNAcentral lists this long non-coding RNA (2896 nucleotides) under Homo sapiens (human). RNAcentral describes it as "HSALNT0333735". Lineage: Eukaryota; Metazoa; Chordata; Mammalia; Primates; Hominidae. The record is from RNAcentral.
AGUGAACAAAGGAAGGCAGAGGUGAGUAGCCCCCUCCCAUCAGGCUCUGCCUCCUCAGCGGCCUCAGUUGCCAGCAGAAGCUUCCCAGUUCCAACCCAGGGAUGCACCCAUGUCUGUCCCAGAGCCCCCAGAGACCCAGGGAAGAAGUCAGCUGAUGGUCCCUCCACUCCUUCAGAGAACAUUUAUAUUUCAUAAACCACAGUGAGGCAUCCCUACACACCCAUCAAAACGGCUAACACUGAAACAACAGGUAAUUCCAAGUGUUGGAGAGGAUGCAGAGCGACUGGCACUCUGUUACCUUGCUGGCAUGUACGUGGGUGAAACUUUCUCAGCCUCUACUACAACUAAACAUAUGCCAGCCUGUGAUGUGACAAUUCCACAUUUAGAUCAUUUACUCAAGAGAAGCAAGUGCAUACAUGUACCAAAAUCACAUGCAAGAAUGUUCCUAGAGCUCCCUCUCCCUCACCCUCUCCCCAUGGUCUCCCUCUCCCUCUCUUUCCACGGUCUCCCUCUGAUGCCGAGCCGAAGCUGGACGGUACUGCUGCCAUCUCGGCUCACUGCAACCUCCCUGCCUGAUUCUCCUGCCUCAGCUUGCCGAGUGCCUGCGAUUGCAGGCGCGCGCCGCCACGCCUGACUGGUUUUCGUAUUUUGUUAGUGGAGACGGGGUUUCGCUGUGUUGGCCGGGCUGGUCUCCAGCUCCUAACCGCGAGUGAUCCACCAGCCUCGGCCUCCCGAGGUGCUGGGAUUGCAGACGGAGUCUCGUUCACUCAGUGCUCAAUGAUGCCCAGGCUGGAGUGCAGUGGCGUGAUCUUGGCUCGCUACAACCUCCACCUCCCAGCAGCCUGCCUUGGCCUCCCAAAGUGCCGAGAUUGCAGCCUCUGCCCGGCCGCCACCCCGUCUGGGAAGUGAGGAGCGUCUCCGCCUGGCCACCCAUCGUCUGGGAUGUGAGGAGCCCCUCUGCCUGGCUGCCCAGUCUGGAAAGUGAGGAGCGUCUCUGCCCGGCCGCCAUCCCAUCUAGGAAGUGAGGAGCGCCUCUUCCCGGCCGCCAUCACAUCUGGGAAGUGAGGAGCGUCUCUGCCCUGCCGCCCAUCGUCUGAGAUGUGGGGAGCACCUCUGCCCGGCCGCCCCAUCCGGGAUGUGAGGAGCGUCUCUGCCCGGCCGCCCCGUCUGAGAAGUGAGGAGACCCUCUGCCUGGCAACCGCUCCAUCUGAGAAGUGAGGAGCCCCUCCGCCCGGCAGCCGCCCUGUCUGAGAAGUGAGGAGCCCCUCCGCCCAGCAGCCACCUGGUCCGGGAGGGAGGUGGGGGGGUCAGCCCCCCGCCCGGCCAGCCGCCCCGUCCGGGAGGGAGGUGGGGGGGUCAGCCCCCCGCCCGGCCAGCCGCCCUGUCCGGGAGGUGAGGGGCGCCUCUGCCCGGCCGCGCCUACUGGAAAGUGAGGAGCCCCUCUGCCCGGCCACCACCCCGUCUGGGAGGUGUACCCAACAGCUCAUUGAGAAGGGGCCAUGAUGACAAUGACGGUUUUGUGGAAUAGAAAGGGGGGAAAGGUGGGGAAAAGAUUGAGAAAUCGGAUGGUUGCCGUGUCUGUGUAGAAAGAGGUAGACCUGGGAGACUUUUCAUUUUGUUCUGUACUAAGAAAAAUUCUUCUGCCUUGGGAUCCUGUUGAUCGGUGACCUUACCCCCAACCCUGUGCUCUCUGAAACAUGUGCUGUAUCCACUCAGGGUUGAAUGGAUUAAGAGCGGUGCAAGAUGUGCUUUGUUAAACAGAUGCUUGAAGGCAGCAUGCUCCUUAAGAGUCAUCACCACUCCCUAAUCUCAAGUACCCAGGGACACAAACACUGCGGAAGGCCGCAGGGUCCUCUGCCUAGGAAAACCAGAGACCUUUGUUCACUUGUUUAUCUGCUGACCUUCCCUCCACUAUUGUCCUGUGACCCUGCCAAAUCCCCCUCUGUGAGAAACACCCAAGAAUGAUCAAUUAAAAAAAAAAAAAAAAAAAGAAUGUUCCUAGAGCUUUACUCCUAAUGGCCCCAAACUGGAAAUAAUCCAAAUGUCCAUCAGGAGGGGAAUGGAUAAAUUGUAAUAUACCCAUAUAAUGGAAUACUACACAGCAAUAAAAAAGAACAAAGUACUGAUACACACAACAGCAUGGAUAAAUCUCACAGGCAGAAUAUAGAACAAAGGAUGCCAGAAGCAACAGACCACAUCCCGCAUGAUUCCAUUUACAGGAAAUGUAAGCACAAGGUACCUAGUCCAUGGAGACAGAGGUCAGAAGAGCAGUUACCUUGUGGGAGGGGACAAGAGGGAACCUCAUUCUGUCUUGGGUGGUGAUUAGAUGAGUGGAUGCAUUGUAACAAAUCAUUGAGCUGAAUAGUUAAGAUUUGUACAUUUUACAAUAGGUAAAUUAUGCCUCAAUUUUAAAAUAAGUUAGAGUCACGUCUAAUAAUUCAAGCAUUACUUAUCACAGUCUUACCAGGCAUCUACUUCACCCUCCUACAGAAUAAAUGGCCAUUUGCCAAAACCCAAGGGCAUGAGUGGGGAUCCAUGGUCUGGGCCACUAGGUGAAGGUGGUCCUGCCAUCUUGUGGACUCCGUGUCUUCUGUAUGAUGUGCUAAGAACCAUGAUCCAAGAAGCUCCCAAACCCACAGGCAAAUGCAGCUCCAGGGAAUCCUAGGAGCCCUACUUCUGCCAAGCAGAGCCCCUCACCAUUCACAGGGGCAGCAAUAACUAUGACAAAAGUGCUUAUGGCCAGGUGUGGUGGCACAUGCCUGCAUUCCCAGCUACUGAGGAGGCUGAGGUAGGAAGAUCACUUGAGCUCAGGAGUUUGAAGCCAGCCUUGGCAACACAGCGAGAUCCUGUCUCUUAAAGAAACAAAAACAAGGCCGGAUGCCGUGGCUCACGCCUG